Xyrichtys novacula (pearly razorfish) is the source of this 13743-nucleotide non-coding RNA. Lineage: Eukaryota; Metazoa; Chordata; Actinopteri; Labriformes; Labridae. The record is from the annotation of a GenBank genome assembly.
CUAUUCUUUUUUUCUUUUUUUAGUUUUCUUUAGUUUUAUUCUGCCUGUUUUUAAGGGUUUUUUUCAGGUUUUUUUCAGUUUUUUUGUUAUUUAUAUAUAUAUAUAGGUUGUUCUUUUCUGAAAUACUUUUCCUUCUGUUUUUUUUAUUUUGUUUAUACUAUCCUUUCUAUCCUUCUAUCCUUUUUCCUAUCCUUUCUUUUGUUUUUUUUAGUUCUUUUUGUUAUAUAUAUUUAGGGUGUUUUUUUUCAGAAAUACUUUUCCUUCUGUUUUUUAAAUUUUGUAUACACUAUCCUUUCUCCUUUUUUUAGUUUACUUUAGUUUUUUUCUGCCUGUUUAAAUUUUUUUUUUUAGUUUUUUUAGUUUUUUAAAGUUUUUUUUAGAAAAUACUAUUCUUUUUCUUCUUUUUUAGUUUUCUUUAGUUUUAUUCUGCCUGUUUUUAAGGUUUUUUUUAGUUUUUUUUUCUUUUUUUAUUAUUUAUAUAUAUAUAGGUUGUUCUUUUCUGAAAUACUUUUCCUUCUUUUUUUUUAUUUUGUUUAUAAUAUCCUUUCUCUUUUUUUAGUUUUCUUUAGUUUUUUUCUCCCUGUUUUAAUUUUUUAUUAGAAAAACUAUUCUUUUUCUUAUCUUGAAGACUUAAAAACAGGCAACUGGACUGUGUAGAGUUGAGAGUUGUUAUUUAUAAAUAUUAAGGGUUUUCCUUUCUGAAAUACUUUUCCUUCUGUUUUUUUAUUUUGUUUAUACUAUCCUUUCUCUUUUUUAGUUUUCUUCAGUUUUUUUCUGCCUGUUUUAAUUUUUUUUGUUUUUUCUAUAUAUUUAGGGUGUUUUUUCUGAUAUACUUUUCUUUCUGUUUUUUUAAUUUUGUUUAUACUAUCCUUUCUCUUUUUUUAGUUUUCUUUAGUUUUUUGUCUGCCUGUUUUAAGUUUUUUUUAUUAGUUUUUUUAGUUCUUUUUGUUAUAUAUAUUUAGGGUGUUUUUUUUCAGAAAUAGUUUUCCUUCUGUUUUUUUAUUUUGUUUACACUAUCCUUUCUCCUCUUUUUAGUUCACUUUAGUUUUUUUCUGCCUGUUUUAAGUUUUUUUUUUAGUUUUUUAAAGUUUUUUUUAGAAAUACUAUUCUUUUUCUUUUUUUUUUAGUUUUCUUUAGUUUUAUUCUGCCUGUUUUUAAGGGGUUUUUUCAGGUUUUUUUCAGUUUUUUUGAAGUUUUUUUGAAGUUUUUUUAGAAAUACUAAUCUUCUUCUUGUUUUUAUUAGUUUUCUUUAGUUUUAUUCUGCCUGUUUUAAGUUUUUUUUUUUUCUAUAUAUUUGGGGUGUUUUUUCUGAUAUACUUUUCUUUCUGUUUUUUUAAUUUUGUUUAUACUAUCCUUUCUCUUUUUUUAGUUUUCUUUAGUUUUUUGUCUGCCUGUUUUAAGUUUUUUGUAUUAGUUUUUUGAGUUCUUUUUGUUUUUUAUAAUUAGGGUGUUUUUUUCAGAAAUACUUUUCCUUCUGUUUUUUUUAUUUUGUUUACACUAUCCUUUCUCCUCUUUUUAGUUUACUUUAGUUUUUUUCUGCCUGUUUUAAGUUUUUUUUUUAGUUUUUUAAAGUUUUUUAGAAAUACUAUUCUUUUUCUUCUUUUUUUAGUUUUCUUUAGUUUUAUUCUGCCUGUUUUUAAGGGGUUUUUUCAGGUUUUUUUCAGUUUUUUUGUUAUUUAUAUAUAUAUAGGUUGUUCUUUUCUGAAAUACUUUUCCUUCUGUUUUUUUAUUUUGUUUAUACUAUCCUUUCUAUCCUUCUAUCCUUUAUCCUAUCCUUUCUUUUGUUUUUUUUAAUUCUAUUUGUUAUAUAUAUUUAGGGUGUUUUUUUUCAGAAAUACUUUUCCUUCUGUUUUUUAAAUUUUGUAUACACUAUCCUUUCUCCUUUUUUUAGUUUACUUUAGUUUUUUUCUGCCUGUUUUAAGUCUUUUUUUAGUUUUUUUAGUUUUUUAAAGUUUUUUUAGAAAAUACUAUUCUUUUCUUCUUUUUUAGUUUUCUUUAGUUUUAUCCUGCCUGUUUUUAAGUUUUUUUUUAGUUUUUUUUUUCUUUUUUUAUUAUUUAUAUAUAUAUAGGUUGUUCUUUUCUGAAAUACUUUUCCUUCUGUUUUUUUAUUUUGUUUAUACUAUCCUUUCUCUUUUUUAGUUUUCUUCAGUUUUUUUCUGCCUGUUUUAAUUUUUUUUGUUUUUUCUAUAUAUUUAGGGUGUUUUUUCUGAUAUACUUUUCUUUCUGUUUUUUUAAUUUUGUUUAUACUAUCCUUUCUCUUUUUUUAGUUUUCUUUAGUUUUUUGUCUGCCUGUUUUAAGUUUUUUUUAAGGUUUUUUUCAGUUUUUUGUUAUUUAUAUAUAUAUAUAGGUUGUUCUUUUCUGAAAUACUUUUCCUUCUUUUUUUUAUUUUGUUUAUACUAUCCUUUCUCCUUUUUAGUUUUCUUUAGUUUUUGUCUGCCUGUUUUAAGUUUUUUUUUUAGUUUUUUGAAGUUUUUUUUAGAAAUACUAAUCUUUUUAUUAGUUUUCUUUAGUUUUUUUCUGCCUGUUUUAAUUGUUUUGUUUUUUGUUUCCUUUAGUUUUUUUUUCUUCAGUUUUUUUUACCUAUUUUUUUGCCUGGCACCUCUUUCUUGAUGAGCUACUCUUAGUCUGGUCCCUCCCCCAGGACCUGCUGCCUUGGGUAACCUUUCAGAGGCAUAAAGCCCUGACAACAUAGCUCCUGGGAUCAUUGGGACACACAAACCCCUCCACCACGGUAAGGUGGUAGCUCAAGGAGGGGAAAAAACCCUCACAUGGGAGGGAAAAACCGCAAGGGUUUUUUUUUCUGUGCAAAACACCCGGUUUAGGGUGGGUUUUUGUUCUUUUUUUUCAGAAAUACUUUUCAUUUCUUUAGUUUCCUAUAGUUCUUUUUUAUUUUUCUGCCUGUUUUAAGUUUUUUUUUCAGAAAUACUGUGAUGUUUCUUUUUUUUUUAGUUUUUUUUUAUGAAUACUAUUCUUUUUCUCAGUUUUCUUUAGUUUUUUUUGUCAUUUAUAAAUAUUAAGGGUUUUCCUUUCUGAAAUACUUUUCCUUCUGUUUUUUUAUUUUGUUUAUACUAUCCUUUCUCUUUUUUAGUUUUCUUUAGUAUUUUCUACCUGUUUUAAGUUUUUUUUUUGUUUUUUUUGUUUUUUCUAUAUAUUUAGGGUGUUUUUUUCUGAAAUACUUUUCCUUCUGUUUUUUUUAUUUUGUUUAUACUAUCCUUUCUCUUUUUUAGUUUUCUUUAGUUUUUUUCUGCCUGUUUUAAGUUUUUUUUGUUUUUUCUAUAUAUUUAGGGUGUUUUAUCAGAAAUACUUUUCCUUCUGUUUUUUUUAUUUUGUUUAUACUAUCCUUUCUCUUUUUUAGUUUUCUUUAGUUUUUUUCUGCCUGUUUUAAGUUUUUUUUAGUUUUUUUAGUUUUUUAGUUUUUUCUAUAUAUUUAGGGUGUUUUUUCUGAAAUACUUUUCCUUCUGUUUUUUUUAUUUUUUUUAUACUAUCCUUUCUCUUUCUUUAAUUUUCUUUAGUUUUUUGUCUGCCUGUUUUAAGUGUUUUUUUUUAUUUUUUAAAGUUUUUUUUUAGAAAUACUAUUCUUUUUCUUCUUUUUUUAGUUUUCUUUAGUUUUAUUCUGCCUGUUUUUAAGGGUUUUUUUAGGUUUUUUUCAGUUUUUUGUUAUUUAUAUAUAUAAACAACCUGUUUUAAGGUUGUUUUUUAGUUUUUUUCUUGUUGUUAUUUAUAUAUAUUAAGGGUGUUCUUUUCUGAAAUACUUUUCCUUCUUUUUUUUCAUUUUGUUUAUAAUAUCCUUUCUCUUUUUUAGUUUUCUUUAGUUUUUUUCUGCCUGUUUUAAGUUUUUUUUUUUUUUUUUUUUCUAUAUAUUUAGGGUGUUUUUUUUCUCAAAUACUAUUCUUUUUCUCCUUUUUUUAGUUUUCUUUAGUUUUAUUCUGCCUGUUUUUAAGGUUUUUUUUUAGUUUUUUUUCAGUUUUUUGUUAUUUAUAUACACUCACUGGCCACUUUAUUAGGUACACCUGUCCAACUGCUCGUUAACACUUAAUUUCUAAUCAGCCAAUCACAUGGCGGCAACUUAGUGCAUUUAGGCAUGUAGACAUGGUCAAGACAAUCUCCUGCAGUUCAAACCGAGCAUCAGUAUGGGGAAGAAAGGUGAUUUGAGUGACUUUGAACGUGGCAUGGUUGUUAGUGCCAGAAGGGCUGGUCUGAGUAUUUCAGAAACUGCUGAUCUACUGGGAUUUUCACGCACAACCAUCUCUAGGGUUUACAGAGAAUGGUCCGAAAAAGAAAAAAUAUCCAGUGAGCGGCAGUUCUGUGGGCGGAAAUGCCUUGUUGAUGCCAGAGGUCAGAGGAGAAUGGCCAGACUGGUUUGAGCUGAUAGAAAGGCAACAGUGACUCAAAUAACCACCCGUUACAACCAAGGUAGGCAGAAGAGCAUCUCUGAACGCACAGUACAUCGAACUUUGAGGCAGAUGGGCUACAGCAGCAGAAGACCACGCCAGGUGCCACUCCUUUCAGCUAAGAACAGGAAACUGAGGCUACAAUUUGCACAAGCUCAUCGAAAUUGGACAAUGAAGAUUGGAAAAACGUUGCCUGGUCUGAUGAGUCUCGAUUUCUGCUGCGACAUUCGGAUGGUAGGGUCAGAAUUUGGCGUCAACAACAUGAAAGCAUGGAUCCAUCCUGCCUUGUAUCAACAGUUCUGGCUGGUGGUGGUGGUGUCAUGGUGUGGGGAAUAUUUUCUUGGCACUCUUUGGGCCCCUUGGUACCAAUUGAGCAUCGUUGCAACGCCACAGCCUACCUGAGUAUUGUUGCUGACCAUGUCCAUCCCUUUAUGACCACAAUGUACCCAACUUCUGAUGGCUACUUUCAGCAGGAUAAUGCGCCAUGUCAUAAAGCUGGAAUCAUCUCAGACUGGUUUCUUGAACAUGACAAUGAGUUCACUGUACUCAAAUGGCCUCCACAGUCACCAGAUCUCAAUCCAAUAGAGCAUCUUUGGGAUGUGGUGGAGCGGGAGAUUCGCAUCAUGGAUGUGCAGCCGACAAAUCUGCGGCAACUGUGUGAUGCCAUCAUGUCAAUAUGGACCAAGCUCUCUGAGGAAUGCUUCCAGCACCUUGUUGAAUCUAUGCCACGAAGAAUUGAGGCAGUUCUGAAGGCAAAAGGGGGUCCAACCCGUUACUAGCAUGGUGUACCUAAUAAAGUGGCCGGUGAGUGUAUAUAUAUAGGUUGUUCUUUUCUGAAAUACUUUUCCUUGUGUUUUUUUAUUUUGUUUAUACUAUCCUUUCUAUCCUUCUAUCCUUUAUCCUAUCCUUUCUUAUAGUUUUUUUAGUUCUUUUUGUUAUAUAUAUUUAGGGUGUUUUUUUUCAGAAAUACUUUUCCUUCUGUUUUUUUAUUUUGUUUACACUAUCCUUUCUCUUCUUUUUAGUUUACUUUAGUUUUUUUCUGCCUGUUUUAAGUUUUUUUUUUAGUUUUUUAAAGUUUUUUUUAGAAAUACUAUUCUUUUUCUUCUUUUUUUAGUUUUCUUUAGUUUUAUUCUGCCUGUUUUUAAGGGGUUUUUUCAGGUUUUUUUCAGUUUUUUUGAAGUUUUUUUAGAAAUACUAAUCUUCUUGUUUUUAUUAGUUUUCUUUAGUUUUAUUCUGCCUGUUUUAAGUUUUUUUUUUUUUCUAUAUAUUUGGGGUGUUUUUUCUGAUAUACCUUUCUUUCUGUUUUUUUAAUUUUGUUUAUACUAUCCUUUCUCUUUUUUUAAUUUUCUUUAGUUUUUUGUCUGCCUGUUUUAAGUUUUUUGUAUUAGUUUUUUGAGUUCUUUUUGUUUUUUAUAAUUAGGGUGUUUUUUUCAGAAAUACUUUUCCUUCUGUUUUUUUUUAUUUUGUUUACACUAUCCUUUCUCCUCUUUUUAGUUUACUUUAGUUUUUUUCUGCCUGUUUUAAGUUUUUUUUUUAGUUUUUUAAAGUUUUUUUAGAAAUACUAUUCUUUUUCUUCUUUUUUUAGUUUUCUUUAGUUUUAUUCUGCCUGUUUUUAAGGGUUUUUUUCAGGUUUUUUUCAGUUUUUUUGUUAUUUAUAUAUAUAUAGGUUGUUCUUUUCUGAAAUACUUUUCCUUCUGUUUUUUUAUUUUGUUUAUACUAUCCUUUCUAUCCUUCUAUCCUUUAUCCUAUCCUUUCUUUUGUUUUUUUUAAUUCUAUUUGUUAUAUAUAUUUAGGGUGUUUUUUUUCAGAAAUACUUUUCCUUCUGUUUUUUAAAUUUUGUAUACACUAUCCUUUCUCCUUUUUUUAGUUUACUUUAGUUUUUUUCUGCCUGUUUUAAGUUUUUUUUAGUUUUUUUAGUUUUUUAAAGUUUUUUUAGAAAAUACUAUUCUUUUUCUUCUUUUUUAGUUUUCUUUAGUUUUAUCCUGCCUGUUUUUAAGUUUUUUUUUUAGUUUUUUUUUUCUUUUUUUAUUAUUUAUAUAUAUAUAGGUUGUUCUUUUCUGAAAUACUUUUCCUUCUGUUUUUUUAUUUUGUUUAUACUAUCCUUUCUCUUUUUUAGUUUUCUUCAGUUUUUUUCUGCCUGUUUUAAUUUUUUUUUGUUUUUUCUAUAUAUUUAGGGUGUUUUUUCUGAUAUACUUUUCUUUCUGUUUUUUUAAUUUUGUUUAUACUAUCCUUUCUCUUUUUUUAGUUUUCUUUAGUUUUUUGUCUGCCUGUUUUAAGUUUUUUUUAUUAGUUUUUUUAGUUCUUUUUGUUAUAUAUAUUUAGGGUGUUUUUUUUUCGGAAAUAGUUUUCCUUCUGUUUUUUUAUUUUGUUUACACUAUCCUUUCUCCUCUUUUUAGUUCACUUUAGUUUUUUUCUGCCUGUUUUAAGUUUUUUUUUUAGUUUUUUUUAGUUUUUUAAAGUUUUUUUUAGAAAUACUAUUCUUUUUUUUCUUUUUUUAGUUUUCUUUAGUUUUAUUCUGCCUGUUUUUAAGGUUUUUUUUAAGGUUUUUUUCAGUUUUUUGUUAUUUAUAUAUAUAUAUAGGUUGUUUUUUUCUGAAAUACUUUUCCUUCUUUUUUUUAUUUUGUUUAUACUAUCCUUUCUCCUUUUUAGUUUUCUUUAGUUUUUGUCUGCCUGUUAUAAGUUUUUUUUUAGUUUUUUGAAGUUUUUUUUAGAAAUACUAAUCUUCUUUUUAUUAGUUUUCUUUAGUUUUUUUCUGCCUGUUUUAAUUGUUUUGUUUUUUGUUUCCUUUAGUUUUUUUUUCUUCAGUUUUUUUUCCUAUUUUUUUGCCUGGCACCUCUUUCUUGAUGAGCUACUCUUAGUCUGGUCCCUCCCCCAGGACCUGCUGCCUUGGGUAACCUUUCAGAGGCAUAAAGCCCUGACAACAUAGCUCCUGGGAUCAUUGGGACACACAAACCCCUCCACCACGGUAAGGUGGUAGCUCAAGGAGGGGAAAAAACCCUCACAUGGGAGGGAAAAACCGCAAGGGUUUUUUUUUCUGUGCAAAACACCCGGUUUAGGGUGGGUUUUUGUUCUUUUUUUUCGGAAAUACUUUUCAUUUCUUUAGUUUCCUAUAGUUCUUUUUUAUUUUUCUGCCUGUUUUAAGUUUUUUUUCAGAAAUACUGUGAUGUUUCUUUUUUUUUUUUAGUUUUUUUUUUUACGAAUACUAUUCUUUUUCUCAGUUUUCUUUAGUUUUUUUUGUCAUUUAUAAAUAUUAAGGGUUUUCCUUUCUGAAAUACUUUUCCUUCUGUUUUUUUAUUUUGUUUAUACUAUCCUUUCUCUUUUUUAGUUUUCUUUAGUAUUUUCUACCUGUUUUAAGUUUUUUUUUUUUUUUUUUUUUUUUCUAUAUAUUUAGGGUGUUUUUUUCUGAAAUACUUUUCCUUCUGUUUUGUUUUAUUUUGUUUAUACAAUCCUUUCUCUUUUUUAGUUUUCUUUAGUUUUUUUCUGCCUGUUUUAAGUUUUUUUUUUAGUUUUUUUUUGUUUUUUUUCUAUAUAUUUAGGGUGUUUUUUCUGAUAUACUUUUCUUUCUGUUUUUUUUAAUAUUGUUUAUACUAUCAUUUCUCUUUAUUUAGUUUUCUUUAGUUUUUUGUCUGCCUGUUUUAAGAUGUUUUUAUUAGUUUUUUUAGUUCUUUUUGUUAUAUAUAUUUAGGGUGUUUUUUUUCAGAAAUAGUUUUCCUUCUGUUUUUUUUUAUUUUGUUUACACUGUCCUUUCUCUUUUUUUUUAAUUUUCUUUAGUUUUUUGUCUGCCUGUUUUUAGUUUUUUUUUUUAGUUUUUUUUUUAGUUCUUUUUGUAAUAUAUUUAGGGUGUUUUAUCAGAAAUACUUUUCCUUCUGUUUUUUUAUUUUGUUUAUAAUAUCCUUUCUCCUUUUUUAGUUUACUUUAGUUUUUUCUGCCUGUUUUAAGUUUUUUUUUUAGAUUUUUUUUAGUUUUUUAAAGUUUGUUUUAGAAAUACUAUUCUUUUUCUUCUUUUUUUAGGUUUCUUUAGUUUUUUUCUGCCUGUUUUAAGGUUGUUUUUUAGUUUUUUUUUCUUGUUGUUAUUUAUAUAUAUAUAGGUUGUUCUUUUCUGAAAUACUUUUCCUUCUGUUUUUUUUAUUUUGUUUAUACUAUCCUUUCUCUUUUUUAGUUUUCUUUAGUUUUUUUCUGCCUGUUUUAAGUUUUUUUUGUUUUUUCUAUAUAUUUAGGGUGUUUUUUUUCUCAAAUACUUUUCCUUCUGUUUUUUUUAUUUUGUUUACACUAUCCUUUCUCUUUUUUUAAUUUUCUUUAGUUUUUUGUCUGCCUGUUUUUAGUUUUUUUUUUUUUAGUUUUUUUUAGUUCUUUUUGUAAUAUAUUUAGGGUGUUUUAUCAGAAAUACUUUUCCUUCUGUUUUUUUUAUUUUGUUUAUACUAUCCUUUCUCUUUUUUAGUUUUCUUUAGUUUUUUUCUGCCUGUUUUAAGUUUUUUUUAGUUUUUUUAGUUUUUUAGUUUUUUCUAUAUAUUUAGGGUGUUUUUUUCUGAAAUACUUUUCCUUCUGUUUUUUUUAUUUUGUUUAUACUAUCCUUUCUCUUUCUUUAAUUUUCUUUAGUUUUUUGUCUGCCUGUUUUAAGUGUUUUUUUUUAGUUUUUUAAAGUUUUUUUUUAGAAAUACUAUUCUUUUUCUUCUUUUUUUAGUUUUCUUUAGUUUUAUUCUGCCUGUUUUUAAGGGUUUUUUUAGGUUUUUUUCAGUUUUUUGUUAUUUAUAUAUAUAAACAACCUGUUUUAAGGUUGUUUUUUAGUUUUUUUCUUGUUGUUAUUUAUAUAUAUUAAGGGUGUUCUUUUCUGAAAUACUUUUCCUUCUUUUUUUUCAUUUUGUUUAUAAUAUCCUUUCUCUUUUUUAGUUUUCUUUAGUUUUUUUCUCCCUGUUUUAAGUUUUUUUUUUUUUUUUUUUUUUUCUAUAUAUUUAGGGUGUUUUUUUUCUCAAAUACUAUUCUUUUUCUCCUUUUUUUUAGUUUUCUUUAGUUUUAUUCUGCCUGUUUUUAAGGUUUUUUUUUAGUUUUUUUUCAGUUUUUUGUUAUUUAUAUACACUCACUGGCCACUUUAUUAGGUACACCUGUCCAACUGCUCGUUAACACUUAAUUUCUAAUCAGCCAAUCACAUGGCGGCAACUUAGUGCAUUUAGGCAUGUAGACAUGGUCAAGACAAUCUCCUGCAGUUCAAACCGAGCAUCAGUAUGGGGAAGAAAGGUGAUUUGAGUGACUUUGAACGUGGCAUGGUUGUUAGUGCCAGAAGGGCUGGUCUGAGUAUUUCAGAAACUGCUGAUCUACUGGGAUUUUCACGCACAACCAUCUCUAGGGUUUACAGAGAAUGGUCCGAAAAAGAAAAAAUAUCCAGUGAGCGGCAGUUCUGUGGGCGGAAAUGCCUUGUUGAUGCCAGAGGUCAGAGGAGAAUGGCCAGACUGGUUUGAGCUGAUAGAAAGGCAACAGUGACUCAAAUAACCACCCGUUACAACCAAGGUAGGCAGAAGAGCAUCUCUGAACGCACAGUACAUCGAACUUUGAGGCAGAUGGGCUACAGCAGCAGAAGACCACGCCAGGUGCCACUCCUUUCAGCUAAGAACAGGAAACUGAGGCUACAAUUUGCACAAGCUCAUCGAAAUUGGACAAUGAAGAUUGGAAAAACGUUGCCUGGUCUGAUGAGUCUCGAUUUCUGCUACGACAUUCGGAUGGUAGGGUCAGAAUUUGGCGUCAACAACAUGAAAGCAUGGAUCCAUCCUGCCUUGUAUCAACAGUUCUGGCUGGUGGUGGUGGUGUCAUGGUGUGGGGAAUAUUUUCUUGGCACUCUUUGGGCCCCUUGGUACCAAUUGAGCAUCGUUGCAACGCCACAGCCUACCUGAGUAUUGUUGCUGACCAUGUCCAUCCCUUUAUGACCACAAUGUACCCAACUUCUGAUGGCUACUUUCAGCAGGAUAAUGCGCCAUGUCAUAAAGCUGGAAUCAUCUCAGACUGGUUUCUUGAACAUGACAAUGAGUUCACUGUACUCAAAUGGCCUCCACAGUCACCAGAUCUCAAUCCAAUAGAGCAUCUUUGGGAUGUGGUGGAGCGGGAGAUUCGCAUCAUGGAUGUGCAGCCGACAAAUCUGCGGCAACUGUGUGAUGCCAUCAUGUCAAUAUGGACCAAGCUCUCUGAGGAAUGCUUCCAGCACCUUGUUGAAUCUAUGCCACGAAGAAUUGAGGCAGUUCUGAAGGCAAAAGGGGGUCCAACCCGUUACUAGCAUGGUGUACCUAAUAAAGUGGCCGGUGAGUGUAUAUAUAUAGGUUGUUCUUUUCUGAAAUACUUUUCCUUGUGUUUUUUUAUUUUGUUUAUACUAUCCUUUCUAUCCUUCUAUCCUUUAUCCUAUCCUUUCUUUUAGUUUUUUUAGUUCUUUUUGUUAUAUAUAUUUAGGGUGUUUUUUUUCAGAAAUACUUUUCCUUCUGUUUUUUUAAUUUUGUUUACACUAUCCUUUCUCCUUUUUUUGGUUAACUUUAGUUUUUUUCUGCCUGUUUUAAGGUUGUUUUUUAGUUUUUUUUAGUUUUUUAAAGUUUUUUUUUUAGAAAUACUAUCCUUUUCUUCUUUUUUAAUUUUCUUUAGUUUUAUUCUUCCUGUUUUUAAGUUUUUUUUAGUUUUUUUUUAGUUUUUUGUUAUUUAUAUAUAUAGGUUGUUCUUUUCUGAAAUACUUUUCCUUCUGUUUUUUUUAUUUUGUUUAUACUAUCCUUUCUCUUUUUUUUAGUUUUCUUUAGUUUUUUUUCUGCCUGUUUUAAUUUUUUAUUAGAAAAACUAUUCUUUUUCUUCUUUUUUAGUUUUCUUUAGUUUUUUUCUGCAUGUUUAAAGUUGUUUUUUAGUUUUUUUUUGUUAUUUAUAAAUAUUAAGGGUUUUCCUUUCUAAAAUACUUUUCCUUCUGUUUUUUUAUUUUGUUUAUACCAUCCUUUCUCUUUUUUAGUUUUCUUUAGUUUUUUUCUGCCUGUUUUAAGUUUUUUUUUAGUUUUUUUAGUUUUUUAGUUUUUUCUAUAUAUUUAGGGUGUUUUUUCUGAAAUACUUUUCCUUCUGUUUUUUUUAUUUUGUUUAUACUAUCCUUUCUCUUUCUUUAAUUUUCUUUAGUUUUUUGUCUGCCUGUUUUAAGUGGUUUUUUUUAGGUUUUUUUAGUUACUUUUGUAAUAUAUUUAGGGUGUUUUAUCAGAAAUACUUCUGUUUUUUUUAUUUUGUUUAUAAUAUCCUUUCUCCUUUUUUAGUUUACUUUAGUUUUUUCUGCCUGUUUUAAUUUUAUUUUUUAGUUUUUUUUUGUUCUUUUUGUAAUAUAUUUAGGGUGUUUUUUCAGAAAUACUGUUCCUUCUGUUUUUUUUAGUUUUUGUCUGCCUGUUCUAAGUUUUUUUUUAGUUUUUUUUAGUUUUUUUUAGAAAUAAUAAUCUUCUUUUUAUUAGUUUUCUUUAGUUUUUUUCUGCCUGUUUUAAUUUUUCUGUUUUUUGUUUUCUUUAGUUUUUUUUCUUCAGUUUUUUUUUCCUAUUUUUUUGCCUGGCACCUCUGUCUGGAUGAGCUACUCUUAGUCUGGUCCCUCCCCCAGGACCUGUUUGCCUUGGGUAACCUUUCAGAGGCAUAAAGCCCUGACAACAUAGCUCCUGGGAUCAUUGGGACACACAAACCCCUCCACCACGGUAAGGUGGUAGCUCAAGGAGGGGAAAAAACCCUCACAUGGGAGGGAAAAACCGCAAGGGUUUUUUUUUCUGUCCAAAACAACCGGUUUAGGGUGGGUUUUUGUUCUUUUUUUUCAGAAAUACUUUUAUUUUCUUUAGUUUCCUAUAGUUCUUUUUUAUUUUUCUGCCUGUUUUAAGUUUUUUUUUUCAGAAAUACUGUGAUUUUACUUUUUUUUUUUACUUUUUUUUUUUUUACAAAUACUAUUCUUUUUCUUUGUUUUCUUUAGUUUUUUUCUGCAUGUUUAAAGUUUUUUUUUGUUUUUUUUGUUAUUUAUAAAUAUAAAGGGUUUUCCUUUCUAAAAUACUUUUCCUUCUGUUUUUUUUAUUUUGUUUAUACUAUCCUUUCUCUUUUUUAGUUUUCUUUAGUUUUUUUCUACCUGUUUUAAGUUUUUUUUGUUUGUCUUUUUUGUUUUUUCUAUAUAUUUAGGGUCUUUUUUUCUGAAAUACUUUUCCCUCUGUUUUUUUAUUUUGUUUAUACUAUCCUUUCUAUUUUUUAGUUUUCUUUAGUUUUUUUCUGCCUGUUUUAAGUUUUUUUUUUUUUUUUUUUAUAUAUAUUUGGGGUAUUUUUUCUGAUAUACUUUUCUUUCUGUUUUUUCAAUUUUGUUUAUACUAUCCUUUCUCUUUUUUUAGUUUUCUCUAGUUUUUUUCUGCCUGUUUUAAGUUUUUUUAUUAGUUUUUUUAGUUUUUUUCUGUUAUAUAUAAUUAGGGUGGUUUUUUUUCAGAAAUUCUUUUCCUUCUGUUUUUUUAUUUUGUUUACACUAUCCUUUCUCCUCUUUUUAGUUUACUUUAGUUUUUUCUGCCUGUUUUAAGUUUUUUUUUAGUUUUUAAAAGUUUUUUUUAGAAAUACUAUUCUUUUUCUUCUUUUUUUAGUUUUCUUUAGUUUUAUUCUGCCUGUUUUUAAGGGUUUUUUUAGUUUUUUUUCAGUUUUUUUGUUAUUUAUAUAUAUAUAUAGGUUGUUCUUUUCUGAAAUACUUUUCCUUCUGUUUUUUUUUUAUUUUGUUUAUACCAUCCUUUCUAUCCUUUAUUUCUUUAGUUUUUUUCUGCCUGUUUUAAGUUUUUUUUUUUUUUUUUUUUUUUUUUUUCUAUAUAUUUGGGGUGUUUUUUCUGAUAUACUUUUCUUUCUGUUUUUUCAAUUUUGUUUAUACUAUCCUUUCUCUUUUUUUAGUUUUCUCUAGUUUUUUUUCUGCCUGUUUUAAGUUUUUUUAUUAGUUUUUUUAGUUUUUUUCUGUUAUAUAUAAUUAGGGUGUUUUUUUUUUCAGAAAUUCUUUUCCUUCUGUUUUUUAUUUUGUUUACACUAUCCUUUCUCCUCUUUUUAGUUUACUUUAGUUUUUUCUGCCUGUUUUAAGUUUUUUUUUAGUUUUUAAAAGUUUUUUUUAGAAAUACUAUUCUUUUUCUUCUUUUUUUAGUUUUCUUUAGUUUUAUUCUGCCUGUUUUUAAGGGUUUUUUUUAGUUUUUUUUUCAGUUUUUUUGUUAUUUAUAUAUAUAUAUAGGUUGUUCUUUUCUGAAAUACUUUUCCUUCUGUUUUUUUUUUUUAUUUUGUUUAUACCAUCCUUUCUAUCCUUUAUCCUAUCCUUUCUUUUAGUUUUUUUAGUUCUUUUUGUUAUAUAUAUUUAGGGUGUUUUUUUUCAGAAAUAUUUUU